AAAUGCUUAGCAAAAAAGGCUAAAGUAAUAGCUUAUAAAGCUACUAUUAAAUGGUUCAAAUCCUAUCUUAUUUU
RNAcentral lists this transfer RNA (74 nucleotides) under Microchloropsis gaditana. Its description in RNAcentral is "Nannochloropsis gaditana tRNA-Tyr". The record is from RNAcentral. Lineage: Eukaryota; Eustigmatophyceae; Eustigmatales; Monodopsidaceae.